Molecule: ribosomal RNA, 561 nt
Filed under: uncultured bacterium
Lineage: Bacteria
Description: bacterial SSU rRNA
Rfam family: Bacterial small subunit ribosomal RNA
Source: RNAcentral
CCUACGGGAGGCAGCAGUGGGGAAUCUUGCGCAAUGGGCGAAAGCCUGACGCAGCCAUGCCGCGUGAAUGAUGAAGGUCUUAGGAUUGUAAAAUUCUUUCACCGGGGGACGAUAAUGACGGUACCCGGAGAAGAAGCCCCGGCUAACUUCGUGCCAGCAGCCGCGGUAAUACGAAGGGGGCUAGCGUUGCUCGGAAUUACUGGGCGUAAAGGGAGCGUAGGCGGAUAGUUUAGUCAGAGGUGAAAGCCCAGGGCUCAACCUUGGAAUUGCCUUUGAUACUGGCUAUCUUGAGUGUGGGAGAGGUUAGCGGAACUCCGAGUGUAGAGGUGAAAUUCGUAGAUAUUCGGAAGAACACCAGUGGCGAAGGCGGCUAACUGGCCCAUUACUGACGCUGAGGCUCGAAAGCGUGGGGAGCAAACAGGAUUAGAUACCCUGGUAGUCCACGCCGUAAACGAUGAGUGCUAGUUGUCGGCAUGCAUGCAUGUCGGUGACGCAGCUAACGCAUUAAGCACUCCGCCUGGGGAGUACGGUCGCAAGAUUAAAACUCAAAGGAAUUGACGG